RNAcentral lists this transfer RNA (72 nucleotides) under Nematostella vectensis (starlet sea anemone). It matches the Rfam family "tRNA", at positions 7 to 64 of the family's 71-position model. Rfam says of the family: Transfer RNA (tRNA) molecules are approximately 80 nucleotides in length. Their secondary structure includes four short double-helical elements and three loops (D, anti-codon, and T loops). Lineage: Eukaryota; Metazoa; Cnidaria; Anthozoa; Actiniaria; Edwardsiidae. The record is from Rfam by way of RNAcentral.
AUAGCUCAGUUGGUAGAGCGGGGGACUGUAGAUUUAUAAUUGUGAUCCCUAGAGGCUGGGUCGAAUCCGGCU